AUUGAACGCUGGCGGCAGGCCUAACACAUGCAAGUCGAACGGUAACAGGAAGAAGCUUGCUUCUUUGCUGACGAGUGGCGGACGGGUGAGUAAUGUCUGGGAAACUGCCUGAUGGAGGGGGAUAACUACUGGAAACGGUAGCUAAUACCGCAUAACGUCGCAAGACCAAAGAGGGGGACCUUCGGGCCUCUUGCCAUCGGAUGUGCCCAGAUGGGAUUAGCUAGUAGGUGGGGUAACGGCUCACCUAGGCAACGAUCCCUAGCUGGUCUGAGAGGAUGACCAGCCACACUGGAACUGAGACACGGUCCAGACUCCUACGGGAGGCAGCAGUGGGGAAUAUUGCACAAUGGGCGCAAGCCUGAUGCAGCCAUGCCGCGUGUAUGAAGAAGGCCUUCGGGUUGUAAAGUACUUUCAGCGGGGAGGAAGGGAGUAAAGUUAAUACCUUGGCUCAUUGACGUUACCCGCAGAAGAAGCACCGGCUAACUCCGUG
This 490-nucleotide ribosomal RNA is filed under the name uncultured bacterium. Its description in RNAcentral is "partial 16S ribosomal RNA". It matches the Rfam family "Bacterial small subunit ribosomal RNA", at positions 30 to 507 of the family's 1533-position model. The record is from RNAcentral.